UGGAAAUGUCUCGGGUAGUAGAGUCUUUCCUUUCAUUCUGUUCUGUGUGCUCCUGCUGAAAACUGACGUCGGCUAAGGCUGCAGCAGGUUUCUGGAGGACCCCCGGACCUCAGGAUAUUUUCAGUCCAGGACAAGGAGGAAUUUUUGCAUGAGAUCAUUUCGAGUCACCAAACAAAGUAAGCUGGAGAUGGCAAAUGCAAUAACAAAGCCAUUUCCUUUCCUUGAGAGCCUCAAAGACAGGUCCUUCAUUGCCGAAAAACUCCAUAAUUGAUCCAAGACAACUGUUUUCCUCAUGAAAAUGAUAGAGAAGGGACACAAGAAAUGCUUAGCUGUGAACAAGGUGCAGAGCAAUCUGGAUACAAAAAUAUAGUACAGUCUUAUCUUGGGGGUCUGGUGGAUAUGCAGAAGACAAUUUCACCUUGUCACCCCAAAAAUUAACCAAUGAGCAAAGAGAGCUCCUGACCAAGCAUCUGAAAUAAUCGUGAUCAGCAGUGAAUCCAGUGAUGAAGAUGGGCCCCCCCCAAGCCUGGAGCUCAGCAUCAAGUUGUGGACCACAUGAGAACUUCUGAUUUUUUGAUUCAUGCAGACAUAAUUGGUACAGCCGAUGGGAGUAUUCUUCGCUGCUGACAUUUCUUGGAUCUGCUGGGGAAUUGCUCUGCCAUGACAUCCUGGUGACCUUGUCUGUCUCUGCUUAGGCCACACAGCCAAGACUUCCCUGAAGCUAAUGUGAUCUGUCUUGAGAAUACCCUAGAAGGAAAGAGGGGGCUUCAGAUGCAUUUGUUUUUGAGUCAUCCCUAAAUAAUGUCAUCAGUUGUAUGUAUACACAACAAUAUAUAAAAUAGACAGGGAACAAAGACCUACUGUACAGCACAGGGAAAUUUGCCGAAUAAUGUGUAAUAGUAGCCUAUAUGGGAAAAGAACCUGAAAAGGAGUGGAUAUAUGUGUAUGUAUA
Long non-coding RNA from Phacochoerus africanus (Common warthog), 952 nucleotides. RefSeq lists it as uncharacterized. Lineage: Eukaryota; Metazoa; Chordata; Mammalia; Artiodactyla; Suidae. The record is from RefSeq and is a predicted model, not a curated record. The transcript is spliced from 6 exons.